CCUACGGGAGGCAGCAGUGGGGAAUAUUGGACAAUGGGGGGAACCCUGAUCCAGCCAUGCCGCGUGUGUGAAGAAGGCCCUCGGGUUGUAAAGCACUUUCAGUGAGGAAGAACGCCUGGUGGUUAAUACCCAUCAGGAAAGACAUCACUCACAGAAGAAGCACCGGCUAACUCCGUGCCAGCAGCCGCGGUAAUACGGAGGGUGCGAGCGUUAAUCGGAAUUACUGGGCGUAAAGCGCGCGUAGGUGGCUUGAUAAGCCGGUUGUGAAAGCCCCGGGCUCAACCUGGGAACGGCAUCCGGAACUGUCCAGCUAGAGUGCAGGAGAGGAAGGUAGAAUUCCCGGUGUAGCGGUGAAAUGCGUAGAGAUCGGGAGGAAUACCAGUGGCGAAGGCGGCCUUCUGGACUGACACUGACACUGAGGUGCGAAAGCGUGGGUAGCAAACAGGAUUAGAUACCCGUGUAGUC
This 465-nucleotide ribosomal RNA is filed under the name Vreelandella stevensii. Its description in RNAcentral is "partial 16S ribosomal RNA". It matches the Rfam family "Bacterial small subunit ribosomal RNA", at positions 338 to 795 of the family's 1533-position model. The record is from RNAcentral. Lineage: Bacteria; Pseudomonadati; Pseudomonadota; Gammaproteobacteria; Oceanospirillales; Halomonadaceae.